RNAcentral lists this ribosomal RNA (248 nucleotides) under uncultured bacterium. RNAcentral's name for it is "partial 16S ribosomal RNA". It matches the Rfam family "Bacterial small subunit ribosomal RNA", at positions 1252 to 1500 of the family's 1533-position model. The record is from RNAcentral.
ACCUGGUGACAGGGAGCGGAACCCGAAAGCCUGUCUCAGUUCGGAUUGGAGUCUGCAACUCGACUCCAUGAAGCUGGAUUCGCUAGUAAUCGCGAAUCAGAAUGUCGCGGUGAAUACGUUCCCGGGUCUUGUACACACCGCCCGUCACACCACGAGAGUUUACAACACCCGAAGUCAGUGGCCUAACCGCAAGGAGGGAGCUGCCUAAGGUGGGGUAGAUGAUUGGGGUGAAGUCGUAACAAGGUAAC